Molecule: ribosomal RNA, 406 nt
Filed under: uncultured bacterium
Lineage: Bacteria
Description: bacterial SSU rRNA
Rfam family: Bacterial small subunit ribosomal RNA
Source: RNAcentral
UGAGGAAUAAUUGCACAAUGGAGGAAACUACUGAUGCAGCAACGCCGCGUGGAGGAUGACGCAUUUCGGUUGUGUAAACUCCUUUUAUGAGUCAAGAAAAUAGACGGUAGCUCAUGAAUAAGCACCGGCUAACUCCGUGCCAGCAGCCGCGGUAAUACGGAGGGUGCAAGCGUUAUUCGGAAUCACUGGGCGUAAAGGACGCGUAGGCGGGAAGCCAAGUCUGAUGUGAAAUCCUAUGGCUUAACCAUAGAACUGCAUUGGAAACUGGUUACCUAGAGUAUGGGAGGGGGAGAUGGAAUUAGUGGUGUAGGGGUAAAAUCCGUAGAUAUCACUAGGAAUACCGAAAGCGAAGGCGAUCUCCUGGAACAAUACUGACGCUAAGGCGUGAAAGCGUGGGGAGCAAACG